GGAAAAAUUACCGUCUUUACAUGGAGAUGUACUUACUUUUAUUUACCUGCCUAUCUUAUCUGUCACUGUGUGAAUGUCUAAUGAACUCAAAUGGAAUAUUCGCCGAUGUCCUGACUUUUCUCCUCUCACGCACGCGGUGAUUGCGGGGAAACUGACUACGCUCCCCCUAGACUGUGUCGCCUUUGAGACGUGUGGCGGCAGCCAAGUCCGGCCUCGCUGGGCGCGGCCCCUUCACUUGGGAAAGGCACUCCUCUCCGAGGGGGCCCCGCCGGCGGUUACCGUGGCCUCGGACGCCUGCACCGGCCUCGCCGCCCGGAACUUUCUCCCGUUGCCUGUUUGCUGGACCAUUUCUCAGUGA
RNAcentral lists this long non-coding RNA (358 nucleotides) under Zalophus californianus (California sea lion). RNAcentral's name for it is "lncRNA (ENSZCAG00015011527.1)". Lineage: Eukaryota; Metazoa; Chordata; Mammalia; Carnivora; Otariidae. The record is from RNAcentral.